GUUUUAAUAAUUUAAGAAAAAUAUUGGUCUUGUAAACCAAAUAUAAGCUAAUGCUUUUAAAACU
Molecule: transfer RNA, 64 nt
Filed under: Glyptotermes sp. C TB-2014
Lineage: Eukaryota; Metazoa; Arthropoda; Insecta; Blattodea; Kalotermitidae
Description: tRNA-Thr
Rfam family: tRNA
About the family: Transfer RNA (tRNA) molecules are approximately 80 nucleotides in length.
Source: RNAcentral